AGGAUGAACGCUGGCGGCGUGCUUAACACAUGCAAGUCACGGGGGUUUGAGGCGCAAGCCUUGAGCAACCGGCGAACGGGUGCGUAACACGUGAGCAACCUACCUAAGUGAGGGGGAUAGCCGGCCCAACGGCCGGGUAAUACCGCAUACGCUCAAGUCGAGGCAUUUUGAUUUGAGGAAACCUACGGGGCACUAUGAGGGGCUCGCGGCCUAUCAGCUAGUUGGCGAGGUAAUGGCUCACCAAGGCGACGACGGGUAGC
RNAcentral lists this ribosomal RNA (260 nucleotides) under uncultured soil bacterium. RNAcentral describes it as "partial 16S ribosomal RNA". It matches the Rfam family "Bacterial small subunit ribosomal RNA", at positions 26 to 287 of the family's 1533-position model. The record is from RNAcentral.